This 262-nucleotide ribosomal RNA is filed under the name Salmonella enterica subsp. enterica serovar Stanley. RNAcentral describes it as "partial 16S ribosomal RNA". It matches the Rfam family "Bacterial small subunit ribosomal RNA", at positions 171 to 435 of the family's 1533-position model. Lineage: Bacteria; Pseudomonadati; Pseudomonadota; Gammaproteobacteria; Enterobacterales; Enterobacteriaceae. The record is from RNAcentral.
GCAUAACGUCGCAAGACCAAAGAGGGGGACCUUCGGGCCUCUUGCCAUCAGAUGUGCCCAGAUGGGAUUAGCUUGUUGGUGAGGUAACGGCUCACCAAGGCGACGAUCCCUAGCUGGUCUGAGAGGAUGACCAGCCACACUGGAACUGAGACACGGUCCAGACUCCUACGGGAGGCAGCAGUGGGGAAUAUUGCACAAUGGGCGCAAGCCUGAUGCAGCCAUGCCGCGUGUAUGAAGAAGGCCUUCGGGUUGUAAAGUACUU